GACGAACGCUGGCGGCGUGCUUAACACAUGCAAGUCGAACGGUGAAGCGCUUUCCUUUUUGGUUGGUGUGGAUGAGUGGCGAACGGGUGAGUAACACGUGAGUAACCUGCCCCCUUCUUCUGGAUAACCGCAUGAAAGUGUGGCUAAUACGGGAUAUUCUGCGCCUGCUGCAUGGUGGGUGUGGGAAAGAUUGUGCCUUUGGGUGUUUUCGGUGGGGGAUGGGCUCGCGGCCUAUCAGCUUGUUGGUGGGGUGAUGGCCUACCAAGGCGGUGACGGGUAGCCGGCCUGAGGGGGUGGACGGUCACACUGGGACUGAGACACGGCCCAGACUCCUACGGGAGGCAGCAGUGGGGAAUAUUGCACAAUGGGCGCAAGCCUGAUGCAGCGACGCCGCGUGAGGGAUGGAGGCCUUCGGGUUGUGAACCUCUUUCGCCAGUGAAGCAGGCCUGCUCCUUGUGGGUGGGUUGACGGUAGCUGGAUAAGAAGCGCCGGCUAACUACGUG
Molecule: ribosomal RNA, 503 nt
Filed under: uncultured bacterium
Lineage: Bacteria
Description: partial 16S ribosomal RNA
Rfam family: Bacterial small subunit ribosomal RNA
Source: RNAcentral